GAUGAACGCUGGCGGCGUGCCUAAUACAUGCAAGUCGAGCGAACAGACGAGGAGCUUUCUCGUCUGACGUGAGGGGCGGACGGGUGAGGAAUACGUGGAUAACCGACCGAUAAGACUGGGAUAAGGUCGGGAAACCGGAGCUAAUACCGGAUAAUAUAUUGAACCUGAUGGUUCAAUAGUGAAAGACGGUUUUGCUGUCACUUGUUGAUGGAUGCGCGCCGCAUUAGCUAGUUGGUACGGUAACGGCUUACCAAGGCGACGAUGCGUAGCCGACCUGAGAGGGUGAGCGGCCACACUGGAACUGAGACACGGUCCAGACUCCUACGGGAGGCAGCAGUAGGGAAUCUUCGGCAAUGGGCGAAAGCCUGACGGAGCAACGCCGCGUGAGUGAUGAAGGUCUUCGGAUCGUAAAACUCUGUUAUUAGGGAGGAACAACUGUGUAAGUAACUAUGCACGUCUUGACGGUACCUAAUCAGAAAGCCACGGCUAACUACGUG
RNAcentral lists this ribosomal RNA (497 nucleotides) under uncultured bacterium. RNAcentral's name for it is "partial 16S ribosomal RNA". It matches the Rfam family "Bacterial small subunit ribosomal RNA", at positions 28 to 507 of the family's 1533-position model. The record is from RNAcentral.